UGGGGAAUUUUGGACAAUGGACGCAAGUCUGAUCCAGCCAUGCCGCGUGCGGGAAGAAGGCCUUCGGGUUGUAAACCGCUUUUGUCAGGGAAGAAACGAGUUUCUCUAAUACAGAGACUUAAUGACGGUACCUGAAGAAUAAGCACCGGCUAACUACGUGCCAGCAGCCGCGGUAAUACGUAGGGUGCAAGCGUUAAUCGGAAUUACUGGGCGUAAAGCGUGCGCAGGCGGUUAUGCAAGACAGAUGUGAAAUCCCCGGGCUUAACCUGGGAAUUGCAUUUGUGACUGCAUAGCUGGAGUGCGGCAGAGGGGGAUGGAAUUCCGCGUGUAGCAGUGAAAUGCGUAGAUAUGCGGAGGAACACCGAUGGCGAAGGCAAUCCCCUAGGCCUGCACUGACGCUCAUGCACGAAAGCGUGGGGAGCAAACA
RNAcentral lists this ribosomal RNA (427 nucleotides) under uncultured bacterium. RNAcentral's name for it is "bacterial SSU rRNA". It matches the Rfam family "Bacterial small subunit ribosomal RNA", at positions 355 to 774 of the family's 1533-position model. The record is from RNAcentral.